UACGUAGGUGGCAAGCGUUGUCCGGAUUUACUGGGUGUAAAGGGCGUGCAGCCGGAGAGGCAAGUCAGAUGUGAAAUCCGCGGGCUCAACCCGCGAACUGCAUUUGAAACUGCUUCCCUUGAGUAUCGGAGAGGUAAUCGGAAUUCCUAGUGUAGCGGUGAAAUGCGUAGAUAUUAGGAAGAACACCAGUGGCGAAGGCGGAUUACUGGACGACAACUGACGGUGAGGCGCGGAAGCGUGGGGAGCAAACAGG
This 253-nucleotide ribosomal RNA is filed under the name uncultured bacterium. RNAcentral's name for it is "partial 16S ribosomal RNA". It matches the Rfam family "Bacterial small subunit ribosomal RNA", at positions 524 to 776 of the family's 1533-position model. The record is from RNAcentral.